UACGAAGGGGGCUAGCGUUGCUCGGAAUCACUGGGCGUAAAGCGCACGUAGGCGGAUUGCUAAGUCAGGGGUGAAAUCCUGGAGCUCAACUCCAGAACUGCCUUUGAUACUGGCGAUCUUGAGUCCGGGAGAGGUGAGUGGAACUGCGAGUGUAGAGGUGAAAUUCGUAGAUAUUCGCAAGAACACCAGUGGCGAAGGCGGCUCACUGGCCCGAUACUGACGCUGAGGCACGAAAGCCAGGGGAGCAAACGGG
Molecule: ribosomal RNA, 253 nt
Filed under: uncultured bacterium
Lineage: Bacteria
Description: partial 16S ribosomal RNA
Rfam family: Bacterial small subunit ribosomal RNA
Source: RNAcentral